GGUGGUGCGUGUCAAAGAUUGGCCAUGCAUGUCCAAGAUGGUGUGUGUCCAAGAUGGUGGUGCUUAUCCAAGAUGGUGGUGUGUUCAAAGAUGGUGGUGUGUGUAAAAGAUGGCCAUGCACUGUCCAAGAUGGUGUCUGGUCCAUAGAUGGUGGUGCUUAUCCAAG
This 166-nucleotide long non-coding RNA is filed under the name Pan troglodytes (chimpanzee). Its description in RNAcentral is "lncRNA (ENSPTRG00000054370.1)". The record is from RNAcentral. Lineage: Eukaryota; Metazoa; Chordata; Mammalia; Primates; Hominidae.